RNAcentral lists this non-coding RNA (239 nucleotides) under Caryophanon tenue. RNAcentral describes it as "T-box sequence". It matches the Rfam family "T-box leader". Rfam says of the family: Uncharged tRNA acts as the effector for transcription antitermination of genes in the T-box leader family. T-boxes are found upstream of many aminoacyl-tRNA synthetase genes and some amino acid biosynthetic genes usually in Gram-positive bacteria. The anticodon of a specific tRNA base pairs to a specifier sequence within the T-box motif, and the NCCA acceptor tail of the tRNA base pairs to a conserved bulge in the T-box antiterminator hairpin. The record is from RNAcentral. Lineage: Bacteria; Bacillati; Bacillota; Bacilli; Caryophanales; Caryophanaceae.
AAUAUGGCGUUGAUAAGGAUGAGUACGUAAACGAAAGUUUUCAAGAGAGCUUCUGAUGGUGAGAAUGAAGCAAACGGACCUUACGGAAUAUGACCUUUGAGCCUCGUACCGAAUUAAUAGUAGGCUACGACGAGCGGCACUCGUUACAACGGCAACAGUAUGAACACGUACUGGCAGAGGUGAGCAAUGUGAAUUGCUGACAAAAUUAGGUGGUAACGCGAUGAUUAAUCGCCCUAAUC